Mus musculus (house mouse) is the source of this 452-nucleotide long non-coding RNA. RefSeq annotates it as predicted gene, 52067. The record is from RefSeq and is a predicted model, not a curated record. NCBI's taxonomy places the organism in Eukaryota, Metazoa, Chordata, Mammalia, Rodentia, Muridae. The transcript has 2 exons.
GCAAGAGCUUGUGGAAACACAAGUUGAAGGACAGCCUGGACUUACAGAAGCAGACUGCUUUAAGUUAGUUCCAUAAGUGUUCGAAAGCUGCCCCAAAUGACAGCACUUGAGGCAGACUGGAAGACUGACAUCCAGGUGCUGAAAUCUCAGGCACACAAGAGAGGUGGCAGCUGCUGACAGCAACAGGAAGAGGAAAGUGUGACCCAGUUGGGUGAUGUGGAUGUCAAAGGAGAAGGCGCUUUCAGGAGAGAAGAGAGUCUUCACAUCUAAAAGUACCAGAACGGAGUGGGUGGUGGAUGUAGUGAGCUGAGCUGAGAGCUGACAGGAAAGGGAUUUCUGGCAGAGGAUGCAGACAGACCCUGCAUGACUUUUGGAAGAAGUGUCUCAGAUUGCCUAACAUUGAGGUCUGAAAGGUUUUACCUUUUCAAUAAUAAAUAUUGUUAGGGGAAAUA